GACGAACGCUGGCGGCGUGCUUAACACAUGCAAGUCGAACGGUGAAGCCCUUCGGGGUGGAUCAGUGGCGAACGGGUGAGUAACACGUGAGCAACCUGCCCCUGGCUCUGGGACAACCACUGGAAACGGUGGCUAAUACCGGAUACGACCCGCCUCGGCAUCGAGUGUGGGUGGAAAGUGUUUCGGCUGGGGAUGGGCUCGCGGCCUAUCAGCUUGUUGGUGAGGUGAAGGCUCACCAAGGCGACGACGGGUAGCCGGCCUGAGAGGGCGACCGGCCACACUGGGACUGAGACACGGCCCAGACUCCUACGGGAGGCAGCAGUGGGGAAUAUUGCACAAUGGGCGAAAGCCUGAUGCAGCGACGCCGCGUGAGGGAUGACGGCCUUCGGGUUGUAAACCUCUUUCAGCUCCGAAGAGGCGAAAGUGACGGUAGGAGCAGAAGAAGCACCGGCUAACUACGUG
This 462-nucleotide ribosomal RNA is filed under the name uncultured bacterium. RNAcentral describes it as "partial 16S ribosomal RNA". It matches the Rfam family "Bacterial small subunit ribosomal RNA", at positions 28 to 507 of the family's 1533-position model. The record is from RNAcentral.